ACGCACAUGCGAGUGCGAUAUAAAUAAAUAAGACGCUGUGUCUGCGCUGCGCCUCUAGGACGGCGGAAAGGAUCGCCUCCGGAAACGAGCCCCGGUGAUCCCGCUGCUGCUCCGCCGGCUGCGCCGCGCCGCUGAAGGACACCGGUGCGCACGCAGGACGGAACCCCGUGCACGUGUGGCACAGCCGCGGGGGCGAUACCUGCGCGCGUGCGGCCGCCUAGUUUACAGCCGCGGCGCGCGGAAGCAGCGCGGAAACAUCGUCCCGGAGAAAUGGACCGAGUUGUUUGGUCGGUCGCGGCGGGGUUUGGGUGCCUGGAUCCGGAUUGGCCUGAUUGGGAACAUGGAACAAGUGCAGUGCUUAACCUGCGUGACCCCCCAGCGCCAAAAACCCACUUCUUUGCACUACUUUGUUUCUUUUCUUCCUCCUCCUCUUCCUUUCUUCCUUUUCUUACCCCUCCAGUGACGCCUGCCGCCUGCAGGUACAAAAUUCUGCAAAUGACACCCUGCAUGUGCGAGAAACACACGCGCGUGCAGGCCGUUGGUUGCAGUGUACUGUGGUCCGGCCGGUCCCCCGUCACGGCUGCACUCGCAAACCACUGAUGAGGCAGCAGUUGCUUAGUGCGGAUUACAGCAAAGAGCGCAGACCUGCUCCCCGUUGCUGUUGUUGUCUUUGUUACAAAAGACACAAGUGAUCCGAGCUGAAUUCGACAUCUCACGGUCGGAGGCUCCUCUCUGCAGCUCUGAAUCUCUCGUUGGCUUUUUAGCAAUUUCACAUGCAAGAGUAACAAUGAGAACAUACAUUGAGAGGCAUGUACAGGGAAAUGAAACCAUUAACAAACAGCGCUUUGUUGAACCCAAACUUUUAAGCUGCAGAAAUCAAUGUUUUUGAACGUUUCCUUCAAUACAAAAGUGGUUGUUGGCGUUGGCGCGGCACGGACAGACGUCUCUGUGGGGAAAGUUAGGAUGACCUGAGACAGGUUGAUUAUGGCGACAAACUCCACCACUUGAUCUGUGGAGCUUUUUAGCCUCUUUCAGCAAAUUGUUUGGGUUUUUCUUGGAGACAAAAUCAGAGCUUAAUUGUAUUGGCACGAUGUCUUUUGGUCUUUUUGCUUUAAAAAGUCAGGAAAGUUGUUGAAAUGCAUGAAUGCACUAGCAUUUCAUUCCACUUUAUUUUAUUACUUGUGCACUGCUGUCUUGUCUGUCUACUGUCGCGCACUAACCGCCAAGACAAAUUCCUUGUAUGUUUGACAUAUUUUGGCUAAUAAAUGAUUCCUGAAAGAAAGAACUAAAGAGGAAAAAGCAGGAGAAGAGUUCAUGUUUGAACGCUGUGUCUCAGGACUGUGAUCAGUUUACAUUUAGUUUAUUUCAUUUUGUGAAUCCACAUCCCCGUGUGACGCUUCUCUUCGGUUAUCAACACAGGAACAACAUUAAAACAACAUGUCCUGCUUUAGUCUGAGUGUUGGAACCUUGAAACUGAAACGCACAGUCUGUCACAUCUGGGUCAAGAAGUGAGCUGCGGAAUUCAUCCUUGACAGAUACGAGUUCUUACAUAAUAAGCUGAGGAGGCGGGACGUUUCUCCUGGUGGGAUAACUUUGGAUUACUAGACGUAACAAAAUCUGUCAGAAAAGAAGACUGACAGGGACAAUGUGUAUUUUUUGGGAGAUCCAGCAGAAAUGUAGUAGAAUAGACCUGUUUUUAUUUAAGAAGCUUUGUGUUUCUUUCAGCUGAGAAUGAGCCCCUCGUAUCUACAUGUGGAGCGCAGCCGACGUUCUAAACAAUCAAGUCAGAAAUGGAAAAUGUGCAGAUAAAGAGACGCACGGUAACACACCUUUUGACACAGCUCCUGAACAUAUAUAAUAUUAUAUUUUAUAACUGGUACCUUUUAAGAUUAUAUGCAGCUUUUUCUUCAUUAUUAUGUUCAUCAGGAAUACAAAUAACUACCUGGAACCUCAGAUAAAAAGUAUUUUAAUUAUCAAACAAACAUGUGACUCCAUGGAAAUGAUGAAACUACAGUUUGCCCCCAAAGCCCUAUGGGAAAUGUAGUUGGAUGUGUGAACAUCCACAGACCGCAUAUGUCCACAUGUAACGCUGAGGUAGUGACCUGUCAAUCCCAACGUAGCCCCGCCCUAAAGCAUACUCUAUAUAUGCUUUAUGCUCUAUUUGUGUUAAAUGGACCAUCAUUUACUAAUAUACACCAUGAACUAUUGAAGAGGUAUUGAAACUAAAUAUUAAAACCAUAAACACAUUUUUACAAAAUCAAGUCAAACCUUUGCAAUGGGAGCAUUUAUAAUAGAUCUGUCUUCAUAUAUAAUAUCUGUCUGUAAUCUGAUUCUUCUUUCUUUUUAGUUAUUGUGAAUUCUUGUUUUUUUAUUACUGCUUAUUUAUAAUUUGUUAUAAUUUCUAACUUGUUUCUUGUACUUUGCUGCUGUAAUCCUGUCAAUUUACUUGCUGUCGGAGUAAUAAAGAAUUAUCUCAUCUUAUCUUAAAAUGGA
Long non-coding RNA from Gasterosteus aculeatus aculeatus (three-spined stickleback), 2493 nucleotides. RefSeq lists it as uncharacterized. NCBI's taxonomy places the organism in Eukaryota, Metazoa, Chordata, Actinopteri, Perciformes, Gasterosteidae. The record is from RefSeq and is a predicted model, not a curated record.